RNAcentral lists this transfer RNA (67 nucleotides) under Elateroidea sp. 5 KM-2017. RNAcentral describes it as "tRNA-Lys". The record is from RNAcentral. Lineage: Eukaryota; Metazoa; Arthropoda; Insecta; Coleoptera.
CAUUAGAGUGACUGAACUAAGUUAUGGUCUCUUAAACCAAUAAAUAAUAUUUAUAUAUUCCUAAUGA